RNAcentral lists this ribosomal RNA (422 nucleotides) under uncultured bacterium. Its description in RNAcentral is "bacterial SSU rRNA". It matches the Rfam family "Bacterial small subunit ribosomal RNA", at positions 362 to 775 of the family's 1533-position model. The record is from RNAcentral.
UCUUGCGCAAUGGACGAAAGUCUGACGCAGCCACGCCGCGUGAGUGAAGAAGGCCUUCGGGUUGUAAAGCUCUGUCACCUGGGACGAAAAGCAGUCGAGUUAAUAGCUCGAUUGCCUGACGGUACCAGGGGAGGAAGCACCGGCUAACUCUGUGCCAGCAGCCGCGGUAAUACAGAGGGUGCAAGCGUUGCUCGGAAUUAUUGGGCGUAAAGUGCAGGUAGGUGGUCUUAUUUGUCUAGGGUGAAAUCCCGGAGCUUAACUUCGGAAGUGCCUUAGAAACGGUAAGACUAGAGUCCUAGAGAGGUUUGUGGAAUUCCCGGUGUAGCGGUGAAAUGCGUAGAGAUCGGGAGGAACACCAGCAGCGAAGGCGGCAAACUGGAUAGGCACUGACACUCAACUGCGAAAGCGUGGGGAGCAAACAG